This 955-nucleotide ribosomal RNA is filed under the name Flavobacteriia bacterium. Its description in RNAcentral is "bacterial SSU rRNA". It matches the Rfam family "Bacterial small subunit ribosomal RNA", at positions 1 to 957 of the family's 1533-position model. Lineage: Bacteria; Pseudomonadati; Bacteroidota; Flavobacteriia. The record is from RNAcentral.
UACAAUGGAGAGUUUGAUCCUGGCUCAGGAUGAACGCUAGCGGCAGGCCUAACACAUGCAAGUCGAGGGGUAGAAUGUCUUCGGAUGUUUGAGACCGGCGCACGGGUGCGUAACGCGUAUGCAACCUACCUCUUACUGGGGAAUAGCCCGGAGAAAUUCGGAUUAAUGCCCCAUAUGCUCGUACGACCUCAUGGUCGAGCGAGGAAAGCUCCGGCGGUAAGAGAUGGGCAUGCGUCCUAUUAGCUUGUUGGUGAGGUAACGGCUCACCAAGGCUACGAUAGGUAGGGGGCCUGAGAGGGUGACCCCCCACACUGGUACUGAGACACGGACCAGACUCCUACGGGAGGCAGCAGUGAGGAAUAUUGGGCAAUGGAGGAAACUCUGACCCAGCCAUGCCGCGUGCAGGAAGACGGCCCUAUGGGUUGUAAACUGCUUUUGUACGAGAAUAAACCUUUCCACGUGUGGAAAGCUGAAGGUACCGUACGAAUAAGGAUCGGCUAACUCCGUGCCAGCAGCCGCGGUAAUACGGAGGAUCCAAGCGUUAUCCGGAUUUAUUGGGUUUAAAGGGUCCGUAGGCGGGUCUUUAAGUCAGUGGUGAAAGCCUGCAGCUUAACUGUAGAAUUGCCAUUGAUACUGGAGACCUUGAGUGUAGUAGAAGUAGGCGGAAUAAGGCAUGUAGCGGUGAAAUGCAUAGAUAUGCCUUAGAACACCGAUUGCGAAGGCAGCUUACUAUGUUACAACUGACGCUGAGGGACGAAAGCGUGGGGAGCGAACAGGAUUAGAUACCCUGGUAGUCCACGCCGUAAACGAUGAUUACUCGCUGUUAGCGAUAUACAGUUAGCGGCCAAGCGAAAGCAUUAAGUAAUCCACCUGGGGAGUACGCCGGCAACGGUGAAACUCAAAGGAAUUGACGGGGGCCCGCACAAGCGGUGGAGCAUGUGGUUUAAUUCGAUGA